GUCGAGCGCCGUUCCAUACGGAGAAAAAGACGGGAGAGUAUCCGUGGGAACGAGCCCUUUGGUUCGGAACAACCCAGGGAAACUUGGGCUAAUACCUGACAAGCCCUUACGGGGAAAGAUUUAUCGCCGAAGGAUCGGCCCGCGUCUGAUUAGCUAGUUGGUGGGGUAAUGGCCCACCAAGGCGACGAUCAGUAGCUGGUCUGAGAGGAUGAUCAGCCUCACUGGGACUGAGACACGGCCCAGACUCCUACGGGAGGCAGCAGUGGG
Molecule: ribosomal RNA, 267 nt
Filed under: uncultured Alphaproteobacteria bacterium
Lineage: Bacteria; Pseudomonadati; Pseudomonadota; Alphaproteobacteria
Description: partial 16S ribosomal RNA
Rfam family: Bacterial small subunit ribosomal RNA
Source: RNAcentral